Molecule: ribosomal RNA, 508 nt
Filed under: uncultured Glomus
Lineage: Eukaryota; Fungi; Glomeromycota; Glomeromycetes; Glomerales; Glomeraceae
Description: SSU rRNA
Rfam family: Eukaryotic small subunit ribosomal RNA
Source: RNAcentral
AGCAGCCGCGGUAAUUCCAGCUCCAAUAGCGUAUAUUAAAGUUGUUGCAGUUAAAAAGCUCGUAGUUGAAUUUCGGGGUCAGUAGGUUGGUCAUGCCACUGGUAUGUACUGGUCUCACUGAUUCCUCCUUCCUGAUGAGCCGUAAUGCCAUUAAUUUGGUGUUGCGAGGAAUCUGGACUGUUACUUUGAAAAAAUUAGAGUGUUUAAAGCAGGCUAACGCUUGAAUACAUUAGCAUGGAAUAAUGAAAUAGGACGUUCGAUCUUAUUUUGUUGGUUUCUAAGAUUGACGUAAUGAUUAAUAGGGAUAGUUGGGGGCAUUAGUAUUCAAUUGUCAGAGGUGAAAUUCUUGGAUUUAUUGAAGACUAACUACUGCGAAAGCAUUUGCCGAGGAUGUUUUCAUUAAUCAAGAACGAAAGUUAGGGGAUCGAAGACGAUCAGAUACCGUCGUAGUCUUAACCAUAAACUAUGCCGACUAGGGAUCGGAUGAUGUUAAUUUUUUAAUGACUCA